GACGAACCGUCCUAACGUUGUUCGGAAUCACUGGGCUUAAAGGGCGCGUAGGCGGCUUGCCAAGUCAGGGGUGAAAUCCUGCAGCUUAACUGUAGAAGGGCCUUUGAUACUGGCGAGCUCGAGGGAGGUAGGGGUAUGUGGAACUUCCGGUGGAGCGGUGAAAUGCGUUGAUAUCGGAAGGAACGCCGGUGGCGAAAGCGACGUACUGGACCUCUUCUGACGCUGAGGCGCGAAAGCCAGGGGAGCAAACGGG
RNAcentral lists this ribosomal RNA (253 nucleotides) under uncultured bacterium. RNAcentral's name for it is "partial 16S ribosomal RNA". It matches the Rfam family "Bacterial small subunit ribosomal RNA", at positions 524 to 776 of the family's 1533-position model. The record is from RNAcentral.